GCCAGACUCCUACGGGAGGCAGCAGUGGGGGAUAUUGCACAAUGGGGGAAACCCUGAUGCAGCGACGCCGCGUGAGUGAAGAAGUAUUUCGGUAUGUAAAGCUCUCUCAGCAGGGAAGAAAAUGACGGUACCUGACUAAGAAGCCCCGGCUAACUACGUGCCAGCAGCCGCGGUAAUACGUAGGGGGCAAGCGUUAUCCGGAUUUACUGGGUGUAAAGGGAGCGUAGACGGUGCAGCAAGUCUGAUGUGAAAGGUCGGGGCCCAACCCCGGGACUGCAUUGGAAACUGUAUGGCUGGAGUGCUGGAGAGGCAAGCGGAAUUCCUAGUGUAGCGGUGAAAUGCGUAGAUAUUAGGAGGAACACCAGUGGCGAAGGCGGCUUGCUGGACAGUAACUGACGUUGAGGCUCGAAAGCGUGGGGAGCAAACAGGAUUAGAUACCCGCGUA
Molecule: ribosomal RNA, 445 nt
Filed under: uncultured bacterium
Lineage: Bacteria
Description: bacterial SSU rRNA
Rfam family: Bacterial small subunit ribosomal RNA
Source: RNAcentral